UAGAUUUUAGUUUAAAAAGAAUAUUUCAGUUACAUUGAAAAAGUUUUAAUAUAAUUUAAAAAAUUUAU
RNAcentral lists this transfer RNA (68 nucleotides) under Stenamma expolitum. RNAcentral describes it as "tRNA-Val". Lineage: Eukaryota; Metazoa; Arthropoda; Insecta; Hymenoptera; Formicidae. The record is from RNAcentral.